GGCAGAGUAGCCAAGUGGUUACGGCGCUGGCCUGCUAAUUCCCAAUCGGGGUUAACAGUUAAGCCAGUCCCUUCGGGGGCGCGUGUUCGAAUCACGUCUCUGUCG
This 105-nucleotide transfer RNA is filed under the name Coniella lustricola. It matches the Rfam family "tRNA". From Rfam's summary of the family: Transfer RNA (tRNA) molecules are approximately 80 nucleotides in length. Their secondary structure includes four short double-helical elements and three loops (D, anti-codon, and T loops). Further hydrogen bonds mediate the characteristic L-shaped molecular structure. tRNAs have two regions of fundamental functional importance: the anti-codon, which is responsible for specific mRNA codon recognition, and the 3' end, to which the tRNAs corresponding amino acid is attached (by aminoacyl-tRNA synthetases). tRNAs cope with the degeneracy of the genetic code in two manners: having more than one tRNA (with a specific anti-codon) for a particular amino acid; and 'wobble' base-pairing, i.e. permitting non-standard base-pairing at the 3rd anti-codon position. The record is from Rfam by way of RNAcentral. Lineage: Eukaryota; Fungi; Ascomycota; Sordariomycetes; Diaporthales; Schizoparmaceae.